AGAGUUUGAUCCUGGCUCAGAACGAACGCUGGCGGCGUGCUUAACACAUGCAAGUCGAACGCGAAAGGGACUUCGGUCCCGAGUAGAGUGGCGCACGGGUGAGUAACGCGUAAGUGAUCUACCCCUGUAUUUGGGAUAACUAUGGGAAACUGUAGCUAAUACCGGAUACGUUCAUGUUCUUGCGAGUAUAUGAAGAAAGAUGGCCUCUGAUUCAAGCUAUUGUACAGGGAGGAGCUUGCGUACCAUUAGCUAGUUGGUAGGGUAAUGGCCUACCAAGGCAACGAUGGUUAGCGGGUCUGAGAGGAUGAUCCGCCACACUGGAACUGAAACACGGACCAGACUCCUACGGGAGGCAGCAGUGAGGAAUAUUGCGCAAUGGGGGCAACCCUGACGCAGCGACGCCGCGUGGAUGAUGAAGGCCUUCGGGUCGUAAAGCUCUGUCAGCAGGGAAGAACGGCCGUGUGGUUAAUACCCAUGCGGAUUGACGGUACCUGCAGAGGAAGCACCGGCUAACUCCGUGCCAGCAGCCGCGGUAAUACGGAGGGUGCGAGCGUUAAUCGGAAUUACUGGGCGUAAAGGGCGCGUAGGCGGCCGAUCAAGUCAGAUGUGAAAGCCCACGGCUUAACCGUGUGAAGUGCAUCUGAAACUGGUCGGCUUGAGUAUCGGAGAGGAAAGUGGAAUUCCCGGUGUAGAGGUGAAAUUCGUAGAUAUCGGGAGGAAUACCGGUGGCGAAGGCGACUUUCUGGACGAAUACUGACGCUGAGGCGCGAAAGCGUGGGGAGCAAACAGGAUUAGAUACCCUGGUAGUCCACAGCUGUAAACGAUGUGCACUAGAUGUGGGGAAGUGUUGACCUUUCCUGUGUCGCAGCUAACGCAUUAAGUGCACCGCCUGGGGAGUACGGCCGCAAG
This 909-nucleotide ribosomal RNA is filed under the name uncultured bacterium. Its description in RNAcentral is "bacterial SSU rRNA". It matches the Rfam family "Bacterial small subunit ribosomal RNA", at positions 8 to 892 of the family's 1533-position model. The record is from RNAcentral.